Molecule: unclassified non-coding RNA, 253 nt
Filed under: uncultured Halomonadaceae bacterium
Lineage: Bacteria; Pseudomonadati; Pseudomonadota; Gammaproteobacteria; Oceanospirillales; Halomonadaceae
Description: contains 16S-23S intergenic spacer region
Rfam family: Bacterial small subunit ribosomal RNA
Source: RNAcentral
UACGGAGGGUGCGAGGGUUAAUCGGAAUUACUGGGCGUAAAGCGCGCGUAGGGGGCGGGAUCAGUCGGUUGUGAAAGCCCCGGGCUAAACCUGGGAACGGCAUCCGGAACUGUCAGGCUAGAGUGCAGGAGAGGAAGGUAGAAUUCCCGGUGUAGCGGUGAAAUGCGUAGAGAUCGGGAGGAAUACCAGUGGCGAAGGCGGCCUUCUGGACUGACACUGACGCUGAGGUGCGAAAGCGUGGAUAGCAAACAGG